GUGAGGAAUUUUGCGCAAUGGCCGCAAGGCUGACGCAGCAACGCCGCGUGGGUGAUGAAGGCCUUCGGGUCGUAAAGCCCUGUCAGGUGGGAAGAAAGGCCUGGAGAGGAAAGGUUUCAGGUUUGACGGUACCACCAGAGGAAGCACCGGCUAACUCCGUGCCAGCAGCCGCGGUAAUACGGAGGGUGCGAGCGUUAUUCGGAAUUACUGGGCGUAAAGCGCGUGUAGGCGGGGGGACAAGUCUGAUGUGAAAGCCCUGGGCUUAACCUGGGAAGCGCAUUGGAAACUGUUUUUCUUGAGUACUGGAGAGGAAGGGGGAAUUCCCGGUGUAGAGGUGAAAUUCGUAGAGAUCGGGAGGAAUACCAGUGGCGUAGGCGCCCUUCUGGACGGUAACUGACGCUGAGACGCGAAAGCGUGGGGAGCAAACAGGAUUAGAUACCCGAGUAGUCC
This 450-nucleotide ribosomal RNA is filed under the name uncultured bacterium. Its description in RNAcentral is "partial 16S ribosomal RNA". It matches the Rfam family "Bacterial small subunit ribosomal RNA", at positions 354 to 796 of the family's 1533-position model. The record is from RNAcentral.